Molecule: ribosomal RNA, 512 nt
Filed under: uncultured bacterium
Lineage: Bacteria
Description: partial 16S ribosomal RNA
Rfam family: Bacterial small subunit ribosomal RNA
Source: RNAcentral
GAUGAACGCUGGCGGCGUGCCUAAUACAUGCAAGUCGAACGAAACUUCUUUAUCACCGAGUGCUUGCACUCACCGAUAAAGAGUUGGGUGGCGAACGGGUGAGUAACACGUGGGCAACCUGCCCAAAAGAGGGGGAUAACACUUGGAAACAGGUGCUAAUACCGCAUAACCAUAGUUACCGCAUGGUAACUAUGUCAAAGGUGGCUAUACUACCGCUUUUGGAUGGGCCCGCGGCGCAUUAGCUAGUUGGUAGGGUAAAGGCUUACCAAGGCAAUGAUGCGUAGCCGAAUUGAGAGGUUGAUCGGCCACAUUGGGACUGAGACACGGCCCAAACUCCUACGGGAGGCAGCAGUAGGGAAUCUUCCACAAUGGGCGAAAGCCUGAUGGAGCAACGCCGCGUGGGUGAAGAAGGUCUUCGGAUCGUAAAACCCUGUUGUUAGAGAAGAAAGUGCGUGAGAGUAACUGUUCACGUUUCGACGGUAUCUAACCAGAAAGCCACGGCUAACUACGUG